AAAGGAAUUGACGGGAGCCCGCACAAGCAGUGGAGUAUGUGGUUUAAUUCGAUGCAACGCGAAGAACCUUACCAGGACUUGACAUCCCGAGAAGGCUGCGUAAUGGCGGCUGUGCCCCUUCGGGGGAAUUCGGAGACAGGUGGUGCAUGGUUGUCGUCAGCUCGUGUCGUGAGAUGUUGGGUUAAGUCCCGCAACGAGCGCAACCCUUACGGUUAGUUGCUACGAAAGAGCACUCUAGCCGGACUGCCGUUGACAAAACGGAGGAAGGUGGGGACGACGUCAAAUCAUCAUGCCCCUUACGUUCUGGGCUACACACGUACUACAAUGGCGUUUAACAACGGGCUGCGAAGGCGCGAGCCGGAGCUAAUCUCAAAAAAACGUCUCAGUUCAGACUGCAGGCUGCAACUCGCCUGCACGAAGUCGGAAUUGCUAGUAAUCGCGGAUCAGCAUGCCGCGGUGAAUACGUUCCCGGGCUUUGUACACACCGCCCGU
Molecule: ribosomal RNA, 492 nt
Filed under: uncultured bacterium
Lineage: Bacteria
Description: bacterial SSU rRNA
Rfam family: Bacterial small subunit ribosomal RNA
Source: RNAcentral